AUACGGAGGGUGCAAGCGUUAUUCGGAAUCACUGGGCGUAAAGGACGCGUAGGCGGGUUGGCAAGUCAGAUGUGAAAUCCUGCAGCUUAACUGUAGAACUGCAUUUGAAACUGCUAACCUAGAGUAUGGGAGGGGGAGAUGGAAUUAGUGGUGUAGGGGUAAAAUCCGUAGAUAUCACUAGGAAUACCGAAAGCGAAGGCGAUCUCCUGGAACAUAACUGACGCUAAGGCGUGAAAGCGUGGGGAGCAAACAGGAUUAGAAACCCUAGUAGUCC
Molecule: ribosomal RNA, 274 nt
Filed under: uncultured bacterium
Lineage: Bacteria
Description: partial 16S ribosomal RNA
Rfam family: Bacterial small subunit ribosomal RNA
Source: RNAcentral